UACCAGACUCCUACGGGAGGCAGCAGUGGGGAAUAUUGCACAAUGGGGGGAACCCUGAUGCAGCGACGCCGCGUGGGUGAAGGAGUAUUUCGGUAUGUAAAGCCCUAUCAGCAGGGAAGAACAAUGACGGUACCUGACUAAGAAGCACCGGCUAAAUACGUGCCAGCAGCCGCGGUAAUACGUAGGGGGCAAGCGUUAUCCGGAUUUACUGGGUGUAAAGGGAGCGUAGACGGCGAUGCAAGCCAGAUGUGAAAGCCCGGGGCUCAACCCCGGGACUGCAUUUGGAACUGUGUGGCUGGAGUGUCGGAGAGGCAGGCGGAAUUCCUAGUGUAGCGGUGAAAUGCGUAGAUAUUAGGAGGAACACCAGUGGCGAAGGCGGCCUGCUGGACGAUGACUGACGUUGAGGCUCGAAAGCGUGGGGAGCAAACAGGAUUAGAUACCCCAGUAUC
This 449-nucleotide ribosomal RNA is filed under the name uncultured bacterium. RNAcentral's name for it is "bacterial SSU rRNA". It matches the Rfam family "Bacterial small subunit ribosomal RNA", at positions 329 to 794 of the family's 1533-position model. The record is from RNAcentral.